Molecule: transfer RNA, 62 nt
Filed under: Downesia tarsata
Lineage: Eukaryota; Metazoa; Arthropoda; Insecta; Coleoptera; Chrysomelidae
Description: tRNA-Thr
Source: RNAcentral
GUUUUAAUAAUUUAAAAAAAAUUCUGGUCUUGUAAAUCAGCUUUAGAUAAUUCUUUAAAACU